GUAACAGGUCUUCGGAUGCUGACGAGUGGCGAACGGGUGAGUAAUACAUCGGAACGUGCCCGAUCGUGGGGGAUAACGCAGCGAAAGCUGUGCUAAUACCGCAUACGAUCUACGGAUGAAAGCGGGGGAUCGCAAGACCUCGCGCGGACGGAGCGGCCGAUGGCAGAUUAGGUAGUUGGUGGGAUAAAAGCUUACCAAGCCGACGAUCUGUAGCUGGUCUGAGAGGACGACCAGCCACACUGGGACUGAGACACGGCCCAGACUCCUACGGGAGGCAGCAGUGGGGAAUUUUGGACAAUGGGCGCAAGCCUGAUCCAGCCAUGCCGCGUGCAGGAUGAAGGCCUUCGGGUUGUAAACUGCUUUUGUACGGAACGAAAAAGCUCUCUCUAAUACAGGGGGUGAAUGACGGUACCGUAAGAAUAAGCACCGGCUAACUACGUGCCAGCAGCCGCGGUAAUACGUAGGGUGCAAGCGUUAAUCGGAAUUACUGGGCGCAAAGCGUGCGCAGGCGGUUAUGUAAGACAGAGGUGAAAUCCCCGGGCUCAACCUGGGAACUGCCUUUGUGACUGCAUAGCUGGAGUGCGGCAGAGGGGGAUGGAAUUCCGCGUGUAGCAGUGAAAUGCGUAGAUAUGCGGAGGAACACCGAUGGCGAAGGCAAUCCCCUGGGCCUGUACUGACGCUCAUGCACGAAAGCGUGGGGAGCAACAGGAUAGAUACCUGGUAGUCACGCCCUAACGAUGUCACUGGUUGUG
This 752-nucleotide ribosomal RNA is filed under the name uncultured bacterium. Its description in RNAcentral is "bacterial SSU rRNA". It matches the Rfam family "Bacterial small subunit ribosomal RNA", at positions 69 to 824 of the family's 1533-position model. The record is from RNAcentral.